RNAcentral lists this ribosomal RNA (772 nucleotides) under uncultured bacterium. RNAcentral's name for it is "bacterial SSU rRNA". It matches the Rfam family "Bacterial small subunit ribosomal RNA", at positions 615 to 1388 of the family's 1533-position model. The record is from RNAcentral.
UGGGAACUGCGUUNUGAACUGGGUGACUAGAGUGUGUCAGAGGGAGGUAGAAUUCCACGUGUAGCAGUGAAAUGCGUAGAGAUGUGGAGGAAUACCGAUGGCGAAGGCAGCCUCCUGGGAUAACGCUGACGUUCAUGCCCGAAAGCGUGGGUAGCAAACAGGAUUAGAUACCCUAGUAGUCCACGCCCUAAACGAUGUCGAUUAGCUGUUGGGCAGCAUGACUGCUUAGUAGCGAAGCUAACGCGUGAAAUCGACCGCCUGGGGAGUACGGUCGCAAGAUUAAAACUCAAAGGAAUUGACGGGGACCCGCACAAGCGGUGGAUGGUGUGGAUUAAUUCGAUGCAACGCGAAGAACCUUACCUGGUCUUGACAUGUACGGAACCCUCCAGAGACGGAGGAGUGCCUUCGGGAGCCGUAACACAGGUGCUGCAUGGCUGUCGUCAGCUCGUGUCGUGAGAUGUUGGGUUAAGUCCCGCAACGAGCGCAACCCUUGUCAUUAGUUGCCAUCAUUAAGUUGGGCACUCUAAUGAGACUGCCGGUGACAAGCCGGAGGAAGGUGGGGAUGACGUCAAGUCCUCAUGGCCCUUAUGACCAGGGCUUCACACGUCAUACAAUGGUCGGUACAGAGGGUAGCCAAGCCGCGAGGCGGAGCCAAUCUCACAAAACCAAUCGUAGUCCGGAUUGCACUCUGCAACUCGAGUGCAUGAAGUCGGAAUCGCUAGUAAUCGCAGGUCAGCAUACUGCGGUGAAUACGUUCCCGGGUCUUGUACAC